This 321-nucleotide ribosomal RNA is filed under the name Triticum aestivum (bread wheat). RNAcentral's name for it is "partial small subunit ribosomal RNA". The record is from RNAcentral. Lineage: Eukaryota; Viridiplantae; Streptophyta; Magnoliopsida; Poales; Poaceae.
AUGGAGAAGCUUUUUUGCUCGCAGUUUGGCGCAUCAAAGCGCCCCCUGUUGCUCAAUGAACAGAUGUCCCAAUGGGCCGAACUUCAUAGGAUAUCCGGCGCUGCCAUGAAGGGUGUCAUAAUCUGGUUGUGGCCAACCGAGCCUGUUCCGAAUAGCUAUUUCAGUUUGGUGCAAAGGCUUGUUGACGCGGUGCCACGUAUCGACGCUGUGAAGCGGUCAACGUGCAUUGAGGGUGCACGGAUGGCUUUUGCCCGAGUCAAGACAUUCUGGGGGAAGAUGAAGGCCGUCGAUGUUGCGACGAAGGGUCCAUCCAAAGGCUAG